Molecule: ribosomal RNA, 439 nt
Filed under: uncultured bacterium
Lineage: Bacteria
Description: partial 16S ribosomal RNA
Rfam family: Bacterial small subunit ribosomal RNA
Source: RNAcentral
CUACGGGAGGCAGCAGUGAGGAAUAUUGCACAAUGGGGGGAACCCUGAUGCAGCAACGCCGCGUGGAGGAUGACGCAUUUCGGUGUGUAAACUCCUUUUAUAUGUCAAGAAAAUGACGGUAGCAUAUGAAUAAGCACCGGCUAACUCCGUGCCAGCAGCCGCGGUAAUACGGAGGGUGCAAGCGUUACUCGGAAUCACUGGGCGUAAAGGACGCGUAGGCGGGUUGGAAAGUCAAGUGUGAAAUCCUACAGCUUAACUGUAGAACUGCACUUGAAACUUCUAAUCUAGAGUAUGGGAGGGGGAGAUGGAAUUAGUGGUGUAGGGGUAAAAUCCGUAGAUAUCACUAGGAAUAUCUAAAGCGAAGGCGAUCUCCUGGAACAUUACUGACGCUAAGGCGUGAAAGCGUGGGGAGCAAACAGGAUUAGAUACCCUAGUAGUC